Molecule: ribosomal RNA, 480 nt
Filed under: uncultured Geobacter sp.
Lineage: Bacteria; Pseudomonadati; Thermodesulfobacteriota; Desulfuromonadia; Geobacterales; Geobacteraceae
Description: bacterial SSU rRNA
Rfam family: Bacterial small subunit ribosomal RNA
Source: RNAcentral
CGUGAUCCGCCCUUCGGGGUGGUGAAAGUGGCGCACGGGUGAGUAACGCGUGGAUAAUCUGCCCGAGGAUUUGGGAUAACAUCUCGAAAGGGGUGCUAAUACCGAAUAAGCCCACGGGGUCUACGGAUCUUGCGGGAAAAGGGGGGGACCUUCGGGCCUCCUGUCCUUGGAUGAGUCUGCGUACCAUUAGCUAGUUGGUGGGGUAAUGGCCUACCAAGGCGACGAUGGUUAGCUGGUCUGAGAGGAUGAUCAGCCACACUGGAACUGAGACACGGUCCAGACUCCUACGGGAGGCAGCAGUGGGGAAUUUUGCGCAAUGGGGGAAACCCUGACGCAGCAACGCCGCGUGGGUGAUGAAGGCCUUCGGGUCGUAAAGCUCUGUCUGGAGGGAAGAAAUGAUUGGGAGCUAAUACCUCUUGAUCUUGACGGUACCUCUGAAGGAAGCACCGGCUAACUCCGUGCCAGCAGCCGCGGUAAUAC